CCCUGGCUCAGGACGAACGCUGGCGGCAUGCCUAAUACAUGCAAGUCGAGCGGAAUGAUGAGAGCUUGCUCUCUGAUUUUAGCGGCGGACGGGUGAGUAACACGUGGGCAACCUGCCCUACAGAUGGGGAUAACUCCGGGAAACCGGGGCUAAUACCGAAUAAUCAGUUUGUCCGCAUGGACGAACUCUGAAAGACGGUUUCGGCUGUCACUGUAGGAUGGGCCCGCGGCGCAUUAGCUAGUUGGUGGGGUAAUGGCCUACCAAGGCGACGAUGCGUAGCCGACCUGAGAGGGUGAUCGGCCACACUGGGACUGAGACACGGCCCAGACUCCUACGGGAGGCAGCAGUAGGGAAUCUUCCACAAUGGACGAAAGUCUGAUGGAGCAAUGCCGCGUGAGCGAAGAAGGUUUUCGGAUCGUAAAGCUCUGUUGUAAGGGAAGAACAAGUACGGGAGUAACUGCCCGUACCUUGACGGUACCUUAUUAGAAAGCCACGGCUAA
RNAcentral lists this ribosomal RNA (500 nucleotides) under Sporosarcina sp. CL3.46. RNAcentral's name for it is "bacterial SSU rRNA". It matches the Rfam family "Bacterial small subunit ribosomal RNA", at positions 17 to 500 of the family's 1533-position model. Lineage: Bacteria; Bacillati; Bacillota; Bacilli; Caryophanales; Caryophanaceae. The record is from RNAcentral.